Molecule: ribosomal RNA, 467 nt
Filed under: uncultured bacterium
Lineage: Bacteria
Description: partial 16S ribosomal RNA
Rfam family: Bacterial small subunit ribosomal RNA
Source: RNAcentral
ACGAACGCUGGCGGCGUGCUUAACACAUGCAAGUCGAACGGAAAGGCCCUGCUUUUGUGGGGUGCUCGAGUGGCGAACGGGUGAGUAACACGUGAGUAACCUGCCCUUGACUUUGGGAUAACUUCAGGAAACUGGGGCUAAUACCGGAUAGGAGCUCCUGCUGCAUGGUGGGGGUUGGAAAGUUUCGGCGGUUGGGGAUGGACUCGCGGCUUAUCAGCUUGUUGGUGGGGUAGUGGCUUACCAAGGCUUUGACGGGUAGCCGGCCUGAGAGGGUGACCGGCCACCUUGGGACUGAGGUACGGCCCAGACUCCUACGGGAGGCAGCAGUGGGGAAUAUUGCACAAUGGGCGGAAGCCUGAUGCAGCAACGCCGCGUGCGGGAUGACGGCCUUCGGGUUGUAAACCGCUUUCGCCUGUGACGAAGCGUGAGUGACGGUAAUGGGUAAAGAAGCACCGGCUAACUACGUG